CGGAGGAUCCGAGCGUUAUCCGGAUUUAUUGGGUUUAAAGGGUGCGUAGGCGGGACGAUAAGUCAGUGGUGAAAUCCCAUAGCUCAACUAUGGAAUUGCCAUUGAUACUGUCGACCUUGAGUACAAACGAUGUGGGCGGAAUGUGCAGUGUAGCGGUGAAAUGCUUAGAUAUUGCACAGAACACCGAUAGCGAAGGCAGCUCACAAGAAUGUAACUGACGCUGAUGCACGAAAGUGUGGGGAUCAAACAGGAUUAGAUACCCUGGUAGUCCACACCGUAAACGUUGAUAACUCGAUGUGUGCGAUACACAGUACGCGUCUAAGGGAAACCGAUAAGUUAUCCACCUGGGGAGUACGUUCGCAAGGAUG
RNAcentral lists this ribosomal RNA (368 nucleotides) under uncultured organism. Its description in RNAcentral is "bacterial SSU rRNA". It matches the Rfam family "Bacterial small subunit ribosomal RNA", at positions 526 to 896 of the family's 1533-position model. The record is from RNAcentral.